Molecule: ribosomal RNA, 297 nt
Filed under: uncultured bacterium
Lineage: Bacteria
Description: partial 16S ribosomal RNA
Rfam family: Bacterial small subunit ribosomal RNA
Source: RNAcentral
AAGUGAAACGGAUUUAUUCGCCUAAAGAAAAGCUCGCGGCUGAUUAGCUAAUUGGUAAGGUAAUGGCUUACCAAGGCGACGAUCAGUAUCUGGUUUGAGAGGAUGAUCAGACACACUGGAACUGAGACACGGUCCAGACUCCUACGGGAGGCAGCAGUGGGGAAUUUUCCGCAAUGGGCGAAAGCCUGACGGAGCAAUACCGCGUGAGGGAAGAAAGCCUACUGGGUUGUAAACCUCUUUUUUCAGGGAGGAAAAAAAUGACGUGUACCUGAAGAAUAAGCAUCGGCUAACUCCGUG